Molecule: ribosomal RNA, 407 nt
Filed under: uncultured bacterium
Lineage: Bacteria
Description: partial 16S ribosomal RNA
Rfam family: Bacterial small subunit ribosomal RNA
Source: RNAcentral
GACGAACGCUGGCGGCGUGCUUAAUACAUGCAAGUAGAACGCAGUUGCGAACGGGUGAGUAACGCGUAGGUAACUGCCCCAUAGCGGGGGACAACGACUGGAAACGAUAGCUUAUACCCCAUACUGUGAGACGGACCGGCGUUGUUUUAGCUAGGUGGUGGGGUAAAGGCUAACCAAGGCGCCGAUACAGUGCCGGCCCGGGCGGGUGAACGGCCACACUGGGACUGGGAACAGGGCCAGACUCCUACGGGAGGGAGCAAGAGGGGAUCUUCGGACAUUGGCGGAAGUCUGACCGCACAACGCCGCGUGAGGGGAGGAAGGUUUUGGAUCGUAAAGCUCUGUUGUUAGAGAAGCGUUAACUGACCAGGAAGGGACGGCUAACUACGUGCCAGCAGCCGCGGUAAUUC